RNAcentral lists this microRNA precursor (103 nucleotides) under Ovis aries (sheep). Its description in RNAcentral is "miRNA (ENSOARG00000021975.1)". The record is from RNAcentral. Lineage: Eukaryota; Metazoa; Chordata; Mammalia; Artiodactyla; Bovidae.
CUUGGAGAGGGGAGCCGGGAGAGCCAAUGGCAAGGCUGCCAGAGGCAGAGGGGAGGGUGCGGUGGGCGCGGGGCGGAGCGGGGCGGGGCGGGGAGCUGUCCGC